RNAcentral lists this ribosomal RNA (253 nucleotides) under uncultured bacterium. Its description in RNAcentral is "partial 16S ribosomal RNA". It matches the Rfam family "Bacterial small subunit ribosomal RNA", at positions 524 to 776 of the family's 1533-position model. The record is from RNAcentral.
UACGUAGGGUGCGAGCGUUAUCCGGAAUUAUUGGGCGUAAAGAGCUCGUAGGCGGUUUGUCGCGUCUGCUGUGAAAACUGGAGGCUCAACCUCCAGCCUGCAGUGGGUACGGGCAGACUAGAGUGCAGUAGGGGAGACUGGAAUUCCUGGUGUAGCGGUGAAAUGCGCAGAUAUCAGGAGGAACACCGAUGGCGAAGGCAGGUCUCUGGGCUGUAACUGACGCUGAGGAGCGAAAGCAUGGGGAGCGAACAGG